This 67-nucleotide transfer RNA is filed under the name Pheidole smythiesii. Its description in RNAcentral is "tRNA-Cys". The record is from RNAcentral. Lineage: Eukaryota; Metazoa; Arthropoda; Insecta; Hymenoptera; Formicidae.
UAUGUUAUAGUUUAAUAAAAAUAUUAAAUUGCAAAUUUAAAGAUAUUAUUAUAUAUAAUUAGUAUAU